This 253-nucleotide ribosomal RNA is filed under the name uncultured bacterium. Its description in RNAcentral is "partial 16S ribosomal RNA". It matches the Rfam family "Bacterial small subunit ribosomal RNA", at positions 524 to 776 of the family's 1533-position model. The record is from RNAcentral.
UACGGGGGGUGCGAGCGUUAAUCGGAAUAACUGGGCGUAAAGGGCACGCAGGCGGGUUUGUAAGUGAGGUGUGAAAUCCCCGGGCUUAACCUGGGAAUAGCAUUUCAGACUGGGAGUCUAGAGUACUUUAGGGAGGGGUAGAAUUCCACGUGUAGCGGUGAAAUGCGUAGAGAUGUGGAGGAAUACCGAAGGCGAAGGCAGGCGCUUGGGAAUGUACUGACGCUCAUGUGCGAAAGCGUGGGGAGCAAACAGG